AUUGAACGCUGGCGGCAUGCUUUACACAUGCAAGUCGAACGGCAGCGCGGGCUUCGGCCUGGCGGCGAGUGGCGAACGGGCGAGUAAUGCAUCGGAACGUGCCCAGCAGUGGGGGAUAGCCCGGCGAAAGCCGGAUUAAUACCGCAUACGACCUGAGGGUGAAAGCGGGGGACCGAAAGGCCUCGCGCGUUUGGAGCGGCCGAUGUCGGAUUAGCUAGUUGGUGGGGUAAAGGCUUACCAAGGCGACGAUCCGUAGCUGGUCUGAGAGGACGACCAGCCACACUGGGACUGAGACACGGCCCAGACUCCUACGGGAGGCAGCAGUGGGGAAUUUUCGACAAUGGGGGCAACCCUGAUCCAGCCAUGCCGCGUGCGGGAAGAAGGCCUUCGGGUUGUAAACCGCUUUUGUUCGGGAAGAAAUCCUCUGGGCUAAUACCCCGGGGGGAUGACGGUACCGGAAGAAUAAGCACCGGCUAACUACGUG
RNAcentral lists this ribosomal RNA (484 nucleotides) under uncultured bacterium. Its description in RNAcentral is "partial 16S ribosomal RNA". It matches the Rfam family "Bacterial small subunit ribosomal RNA", at positions 28 to 507 of the family's 1533-position model. The record is from RNAcentral.